CUUCCUAACGAAGGCAGCUCCGCAUUGGGUCGCACGCGUCUUCCUCUCCCCCACACGUCUCCGGCCACAGCCGCCUCCUCCUCUCCCCGCUUGUCUUUCCCUCUAGCUCAAGAAGCUCCACGGGACACCACUCUUCCUCUUCUCCGUAUUGAUGCUGAGCAAGAAGAUGGGGCGGAUUUGGGCGACGGCUCCAGUGCCACCUCCCUGCAACGAGGGAUCUCACCGGCGUGGGGGCGGGAGUGGAUGCCAGUGAGGGUGGCGGAUCGGCGUUGCUCGCUCCCCACCGGCCUUCUUCGUCUCCCGACAACAUAUGGCUCCAACCCUUCCUCUGCUGUGUGGUGUCGUGGGAGCAAGAAACAAGAGCAGGCAUGGUUUUUAUCUACAUCCAGUGUUCACACUGCCAGAUCGACGGAUCUAACUCUGGUCGGCAAGGAGGGGCACCGCCGCGGCGGCGAGGAAGCGGCCGGGGGCAAGGCCGAGGGCGGCAAAGCCAACCUGAGUAAGGUGCUGCCGGCUACCUUAUAGAAAAUCACAGGAAAACUUCACUACUGACCCUUUGGUUCUAGGCUUCUAGCAGCGUCAGGUGUUGAUUAUCAACACUUGUUAGAUGUUGUCUGAUUGGCACAAGGGGUCCCCUAUGGAAACACCAAAGUCUACCCAUACUGGUGAUGAUUUCACACACAAGGCAGAAUCAGAUAUGACACAUGUUGCACUGGCUUUUGAAGUGCCAGGAAGCUGGCUUGAAUCAUGACUGUCAUGCAGGUACAUCUAAGGGUUGGGUAUUCGAUAGUAAUUAAUGAUAAGUUAGUAUACAAAAUAAAAGAAAAUAAAUUACUUACUGCAGAGCCAUUCAGUUAUAUAUGCCAACUCUGAAGGAUAAUUCCUAAAAAAUUUAGGCGUUCUUUGUUUCCUCACAAUUUUUUUCAGAAAUGUCGCAUGGUUAUUUGCUAUUGAACUUCCUCUCUGACUGUUGGAUUAUCAGCCCUUUUUUGAUGGAUAGGUGCUACUGACCAGCUACCAUGGAUGGAAGAAACCUCAUCAAAAACUAAUACAUAUGUUACUGAUUCCGAGCCUUCAAAGUUUUCUUUUGCAGUAGCAUUUAUUUUGCACGGUUCAUCUUCCAUGCAAAGAGAAGUCCUAGAACUUUUAGGUGCUGGUAUGGCAGUUGCAGCCGUUUGGGAAUUGCUCCUAGCUGUAAAUUUUCUAUUAUGAUUAACCUGAGAGCAAUCCUGACUAACAUCAGCAUCCUCAGUGUUACCAUAGUCCUUGCAAUGAACAGAGAGAUAUUCAUGGAUGGAGCUGGUAAGGCCACUCAUUUCCAUGGCAGCUAGGAACAAGAAACAGAAGUAUGAGAAAGUCAGUGAAAGGAAAAUUGUUGUUCUUUUCUAUAUCCUGCAUUCGCCACCAUUGGAACAAUGUGUUAUUAAUUGUAUUCUCUUAGCUAUAGGCUCUCUGUCGUGGAUAUCCUACUGAAUUUGCAUCUUAUUUCCAUUACUGCCGCUCACUACGCUUUGGACUACCAGUAUCUCAAGAAAUUGUCUACAGACUUUUUUAUUGGACAUGGCGAGUUUUCCUUUUGCAUGUCGUGAACUUAUAAUCGUCCAUUUAAUUUAGUGGUUAAUGAUUAAUCAAUAUUUAGACACCUAAAUGCUGCAAAGUUGCUCUCCAUUUGAACUCUUGACAGACAAAUAUUUUUUGCUUCCAGGGUUUCAAUUUGAUUAUAUUUUUAUUGGACAAUUCUGAAGUAUAAACACUCAGAUGACCAGUGCUCCACUGCGCACCAUGGCCCUGGCAGCAGGACGAGGCUCUAGGAUGGUUCCCAUGGAAAACAGACAGUCAGAUUCACAGUGAAGAUGUGUUGCAUGCCCACAACUGAAUACUCACAGUGAAGAUGUGUCACUCAUUGAGAAGCCGAACGGUACCACCAAAAUAUAAAGUGAAGAGACCCACUUAUCCAGAACAAGGUAGAUCAUCAUGCUGUCAUACCAUACAUCAAAUGGUAUGCCGCAAAUACAAUCGCCAAUCUUAGAAAACUCAACGAACGUCCAAUGCAUCCUUUGGAAUGGGACUUGAGCAGGCAUGGUUUCCCUCUACAUCCAGCGUCCACAUGGGCAAAUCGACAGAUCUCACUAUGGUGGUGUAGCAUAAAGCUCCCCAAGCAAUUCAAUUGGAUAUUUCUAGGGAUCAAUUCCGGGAAAUCACAUAGGUACCCUCAGUUUAUCUCAUUUUGCGGUUAUUUGAAUGACUAUGUAUUGUUGUAUUGUUGUGCUCCGCGGGUUUGGCGUUGGCCGCCAACAACGACGAGGCUGGCGGCUCGGGCGCGGGCGUCGUCAACCUUGAUCGGUGUCCUGUUUUUUCUUUGGUUUUUAGUUUUUGUUAUGAUCAGUGUCCUGUUUUUUCUUUUAUAAAUUGCAAUGAACGACCGAAGCUCGACGAAGAUGUCCUAAUCUCAUUGUAUUUGAGUGUCAUUUAUUUAACUCUUCCAAAAUU
Long non-coding RNA from Triticum dicoccoides, 2490 nucleotides. RefSeq lists it as uncharacterized. Lineage: Eukaryota; Viridiplantae; Streptophyta; Magnoliopsida; Poales; Poaceae. The record is from RefSeq and is a predicted model, not a curated record. The transcript is spliced from 6 exons.